RNAcentral lists this ribosomal RNA (442 nucleotides) under uncultured bacterium. RNAcentral describes it as "partial 16S ribosomal RNA". It matches the Rfam family "Bacterial small subunit ribosomal RNA", at positions 338 to 795 of the family's 1533-position model. The record is from RNAcentral.
CCUACGGGGGGCAGCAGUGGGGAAUAUUGCACAAUGGGGGGAACCCUGAUGCAGCGACGCCGCGUGGGUGAAGGAGUAUUUCGGUAUGUAAAGCCCUAUCAGCAGGGAAGAAAAAUGACGGUACCUGACUAAGAAGCACCGGCUAAAUCCGUGCCAGCAGCCGCGGUAAUACGGGGGAUGCAAGCGUUAUCCGGAUUUAUUGGGUUUAAAGGGUGCGUAGGCUGGGAGGUAAGUCAGCGGUGAAAUGCCCCCGGUAAACGGGGUGAAGUGCCAUUGAUACUGCCUUGCUGGAAUGCGGAUGCCGUGGGAGGAAGGUGGGGUGUAGCGGUGAAAUGCAUAGAUAUCACACAGAACACCGAUUGCGAAGGCAUCUCACGAAUCCGCGAUUGACGCUGAUGCACGAAAGCGUGGGUAUCAAACAGGAUUAGAUACCCUGGUAGUC